AUCCAGUGUACAAAUACAGUUAUGCACAAGACAUGCAGUAUUGGAUUUGUACACUGGAUCCCAGGCUAGAACCAACUGGGAAAAGGCCAGACAAGGCUUGGUGGGUGAAGCUGUGUAACCGAGUAACACACAUCUGUUUGAAGAGUAACUGGAGCCUGCGCAGUGAGGUGUCUCAGAUGCUGGG
Long non-coding RNA from Octodon degus (degu), 184 nucleotides. RefSeq lists it as uncharacterized. The transcript is spliced from 3 exons. NCBI's taxonomy places the organism in Eukaryota, Metazoa, Chordata, Mammalia, Rodentia, Octodontidae. The record is from RefSeq and is a predicted model, not a curated record.